CAAGAACCUACGUAUAUGGUUACCACAUAAUUCAUCCCUUUGACCACAAAUGCUCAAGAAAAACUUAUGGUUUAAAUGUCAACCUUGGAUGAGUCAUCCAUAUUGUAUUUCCACAUUUCUCAUCCAUCACAUGGAUUACCCAGGCUCAGGGUUUACUAAAUUGAAAUACAGUGAUACAUUAACUCAUGUAAUCUAGAGGGGUUAAUCUUAUCUUGAUCCACACAUAGACUUUGCAAGUACUUGACUGUACCAAAUAGCCUUCCAUCGC
Molecule: long non-coding RNA, 268 nt
Filed under: Elaeis guineensis (African oil palm)
Lineage: Eukaryota; Viridiplantae; Streptophyta; Magnoliopsida; Arecales; Arecaceae
Description: long non-coding RNA (EGUI_LNC063313)
Source: RNAcentral